Molecule: ribosomal RNA, 492 nt
Filed under: uncultured Actinomycetes bacterium
Lineage: Bacteria; Bacillati; Actinomycetota; Actinomycetes
Description: bacterial SSU rRNA
Rfam family: Bacterial small subunit ribosomal RNA
Source: RNAcentral
UGGGGAAUAUUGGACAAUGGGCGCAAGCCUGAUCCAGCAACGCCGCGUGAGGGAUGACGGCCUUCGGGUUGUAAACCUCUUUCACCAUUGACGAAGCUGCAUCUUUUUGGGUGUGGUGACGGUAGGUGGGGAAGAAGCACCGGCCAACUACGUGCCAGCAGCCGCGGUAAUACGUAGGGUGCGAGCGUUGUCCGGAAUUAUUGGGCGUAAAGGGCUCGUAGGCGGUUUGUCGCGUCGGGAGUGAAAUCAUCUGGCUUAACUGGGUGCUUGCUUUCGAUACGGGCAGACUAGAGGUAUGCAGGGGAGAACGGAAUUCCUGGUGUAGCGGUGAAAUGCGCAGAUAUCAGGAGGAACACCGGGUGGCGAAGGCGGUUCUCUGGGCAUGAUCUGACGCUGAGGAGCGAAAGUGUGGGGAGCGAACAGGAUUAGAUACCCUGGUAGUCCACACCGUAAACGUUGGGCGCUAGGUGUGGGAUCCAUUCCACGGGUUCC